ACAGUCAUUCCACUGGUCCUCAAGGACUCUGAAGGGAUCGAGGACCAUCUAGUCAUCACCAGGUCACCAGUUGGCACCUCAUAAACAAAGUUACCAGUCCAACAAAAAUCUGCCACGAUGUAUCCCACAUAAUCCUAACGCAACCCACUUUUAGCCAACGUGACGUAUGCUGACCAGUUCAUCUGGUGUUUUUUGAUGAUGGAAAACUUGUGACACCUACCAAACUGUACACUGCGGAAUAGUUUUAUUCCAAACAGCUGCCACCACACGUCCAAAACAACCGGUGACAGGUGACUCAUCUGAUUUUCCCACCAUGGUCUUUGUGUCCUGCAGGCUGUCACCAUCCCCUGCCUGGACCUAAACGGUGAUCCCAGCAGAAUAAUCAAGAUUGCACCUGAGGUGCCACACAGAGGUGUUGAGUAUUUAGUGAGCAGGUAGCAGUUCGCAUCUUUGAAGACAUCUGAAUGAAGGUGAAAAAGGAAUCUACUUCCAAUCAUGUGAAGCUGAACUGGAAGUCGUGAGCCGGCACAGGCUUAUUUCAACGUCAAGUACAAAAAAUCUGAAGGCUAAAGCUUCAACUGCUAAAAAUAUCCACCUCCACACUUCCCGUUGACAAGCGCUUCACCUUGAACCUACUGAGGUAAACGCUGUCUGUAAAGCUCUGUCAAGCUUUGAAGAAGCAGAUGGUGGAUGCACUCAAUCUGUAAUUAAAAAAAAAACAAAAAACAAUUGUUGUUAACCAAACAGUCAUCUGCUGUAUGUUUAAUUUCCAUUGUCUGUGCUGUAACUAAUACUCCUCUGAUUUUCUUGCUUUUAA
Molecule: long non-coding RNA, 817 nt
Organism: Thalassophryne amazonica
Lineage: Eukaryota; Metazoa; Chordata; Actinopteri; Batrachoidiformes; Batrachoididae
Exons: 3
Source: RefSeq, a predicted model, not a curated record